RNAcentral lists this ribosomal RNA (235 nucleotides) under uncultured bacterium. Its description in RNAcentral is "partial 16S ribosomal RNA". It matches the Rfam family "Bacterial small subunit ribosomal RNA", at positions 118 to 347 of the family's 1533-position model. The record is from RNAcentral.
UGAGCAAUCUGCCCUUCUCAUCGGAAUAAGCGUUGGAAACGACGUCUAAUGCCGAAUACGACCUCCUUUCGCAUGAUCGGAGGUGGAAAGCUCCGGCGGAGAAGGAUGAGCUCGCGGCCUAUCAGCUAGUUGGUGUGGGUAAUGGCCCACCAAGGCGACGACGGGUAGCCGGCCUGAGAGGGUGACCGGCCACACUGGGACUGAGACACGGCCCAGACCUCCUACGGAGGCGACG